AGUACUUUAGACCAAACAAAAUCAGUAGUAAACUGAACUAACUCCAAAAAUUGAAGGUUUAUCUUGCAUUUCUUUAAUCACAUUUUAAUAUACAAUUUUUUUUUUCAUUUAGAGUAUUCUUUUUGAAAAAAAAAUCCGUAUUUUAUGAACAUCUAAGAGUGAAGAAUCACAUAGUGUUUUCCAAACCUCUUAAAAUCAUUGAGACCAAUUCCAUCAUCAAUCACCGAGACCGAUUCCUCCUAAAAUCUAAUCCAUUCAAUGUUGUAUCUUCUUGGAUUUUUUGCGUUGCACAAUAUUCGCUUCUCAUCACUAUCGUAUUACACCAUCAUCGCUUCUCAAAAUUUUGGUAAGUAAUCCUCUGAUUCGCUAUUUGUUUAAGUUGGUUUCCGAUGUAUUGAAUUUUAUACUAUUUCUCUUAAAGAUUGUUAUUGACAUGAUUUGGAUUUCAGUAUUAUGGUGAAACAUGAGAUAAGUAGAUUGAAUAUAUUUUCUAGCCUAGAGCAUGUAUGAUUUAAUGUCUUAGCUGAGAUUACGGUUUACAAAUAUGUAUGUUGUCAGCAGGAAAAGAAAAAAACGAGAGAAACGGGAUAUAGACUUUGUUGUUCCUUAUUUUUGAUAUGCUUAAAAACUUGAUUUUCAAGAGAGUGCAUUUGUGAAGAGAAUAAAUGGAAGAUAUUUUCGUUAAGUUUUUGGUGACUGCAUCUCUCAUGGAUUGCAAAUCAAAGAAGGAAGUUGCAAAAAUAUUUUGGGUGUGAAAUGAUGGAAGAGUUGAGAGGUUUAAGAUUAUACAUGAGUUUAAUAAGUUAGUUCUAAAGGAUGUAGAGGAAAAGCUUUUCCAAAAAAAAAAAUUCUUAAAGGCUUGUUGUAGAGAAGAAAAUGAGUAGUUUAUGAGUGGAGAAAGGUUUGAUGCGGAAUCGAGAAAUUGAGCCGAUAUUAUUGAGGUUUUGGGGUUGAAAGGUUUGUUAAGUGAAAUUUGGUUCUUUGGGUAUUUUGAAUCCGGCAAAAGUUUGAUGAGUUUUCACGAUGGUAUGAGAGCUCCGUGGAACAUAAGAAUUUCAGUUUACCAGAAUGAUUUGAUGUCCUUACUCUCUCCCCAAACCUACAAUACUUUCUGAAUGAUCAGGGUCACAAAGGAAAGUUAGAGAUCACAACUUAUUCAGAAAGAUUCAUAGAUAAAAUUUUAUUCUUUUGCUUAAUACUUAAUGGAAACAUAUUGCUUAUUUUGUGUGAUCAUGGUCUUUGAAAUUUGAUUUUUCAGUGAAAUUAGUAUUUAAACCUAUAGCAGAUAAAACUAUAAUUGCGGGCAUAAUCUACUGGGAUCAUGCUUACUUGGAUGAAAACCAUGAAGCUUGUACCAUGUUAAUUAUUUCAGGUGAUGCAGAUGGUUAGAAAGCUAGGGUUCACUGUGAUUCUCGCAGGGCCUGAGGAUUCUAUCAUAGCAUAAAAAGUUGAAGAAAUUGUUUAUGCUACUUAUUGUUGGGAAAACAUGAUUUGGCUGCAUUCAAGAUGAAGUUGUUUGAGGUAAGCAUUGUUUCUUCUUUAUACGAAAUGUAUAGUUUUGAGGAGAAUUUAUGUUAGAAGUAAGUAAGUGGGGUAUGCAUUUGCUACAAUAUUUUGUGAUUAUUGAGUAAUAGUUUGGUAAUCAAUUGUGAGGAAAACUUAUUUUGUUUGCAGAACUAGUCCAUUGCUAGUGCAAUCUUUGUCUACAUCCGACUCAUAUUUUGUAUAACACUUGGAUCCUUUAGUACCCGAAGAUAAUAUGAUCCUUAAACCAUCAAACCUUAUAGAAAUCUAUUUUGACAAAAGUAAAAAUUAGCUCAAGUUAAUAAACACCAAUAUAAAAGUAAGCCCAACAUGUGUGAACCAAAUUUGAGAUAGAUUUGGUUCAAAUUAAAGUUAAACCAAAAAUAAAUUAAACUAAAGUCUCUCCAUUGAUAAUCAUUUUAAAACUGAAUGCCAUCAAAUCAAAAUUUGGGUGAUAAUACUUUAGACCAAACCAAAUCGGUAGUAAACCAAAGUUAAAUCCAAAAAUCAGAGGUUUAUCCUACCAUUUUCAAAGUGACAAUUUGAUAUUCAUAUUUUUUUUCAUUUAGAGGGUUCUUUUUGCAAAAAGAAAAAAAUGAAAUCCACUUUUUUUCUGAACACAUAAGAGUGAAGAUUCACACAGUGCUCGCCAAACCUCAUAAAAUCACAUAGACCGAUUUCUCCUAAAAUCUAAUCCUAUCAACACUGUAUCUUCUUGGAUUGUCCGUGUAACACUGUCAUAUUUGACCAUCAUCGCUUCUCAAAAUUUAGUAAAAAUUCUCUGAUUCGCUAUUUUUUUUAAGUUGGUUUGCGCUGUAUUGAAUUUUUAACUAUUUCUCUUCGAAAUUGUUAUUGACAUGAUUUUGGUUUCAGUUUUAUGGUGAAACAUGAGAUAAGUAGAUUGAGGAAAUUUUCUAGCCUAGAGAAUGUCUAAUUCAAUGCAUUUGUUGAGUUUACGGUUUACAAAUAUGUAUCUUCCCAGCAGGAAAAAGAUUAAAUAGAGAAAAUGGAUAUAAACUCUAUUUGAGGAUGAUUUUUGUUAGAAGUAAGUAAGUGGAGUAUACAUUUGAUAGAUAUUUUGUGAUUAUUGAAUAACAGUUCAGUAUGAAUUCUGUGGAAAAUUGAUUCUGUUUGCAGCAGUACUAGUAAUGUGAUAUUGGGUUCAUAUGUGAAGCUAUGGACAUGGAAGACAUUCAGAAAUUGACCCAAGAUAUUAGCUAAUAUGUCAAACCUAUUUUUAUCAAGUUACAAGACCAAGAAGAUUCAAAAUCAAAUGGUUUCUUUGCUGUCCAAAGAGAGUGACGAAAAUUAGGUGGUUAAUUGCAUGAAAAGCUUCUCUCUCCUCGAUGCAAAGAAUGCUUGUUUAAAGAACACUCUCUCUCAUCCAUGCACUAGUUUUAUCAUUUCCAAUGUAAUAACUAUCUAGCUUUGUGAGCAAGUUUAGUCUCUUAUAAAUAAGUUGUAAUCUCCAUUGAAAUAAAAUAAGUUUUGAGUGAUUAUUUUUGGAACCUUGAGAGUGAUUCUCACUUUUCUUUCAAUGGUGUGUAAUAUCCAUUGAUCUUUUCGAUCCGUCUUGGUGCGUCAUAUCUAAGUGAUCAAACCGAUUCGUCCUGGUGCGUCGUAUCCAGGGAAUCAUUCUCAUUGUCGUCUAGGUGCGUCAUAUCCUAGGGCAUUGAGUUGGAAUAUCGGAGGCCUUCCGCAUCCUUCGUGCGAGCAUUAAUAUAUAUUUUCUAACCAGAGUAACAUUUCAAAACACACACACUCUACCUUACCAACUAUAGAGGGUUUAUUACCAAUAAGGCUCAUUUUAUAUUGGAAUUUUUUUUUGAUUUUUACAAUGACAUUAAAUAUGCAAAGCUAAGAAAGAACAUAAGAUUCUCAUAACAAAAACAACAAUUCCAACGAAUAAGACAAAAAUCUUCUGAAUCCCCCAAAUUGUCUUUUGCCAUUCUCCCUCAACGAGACAAGUUUCUCUUGGAACUUCCUGAGAUUCUUCAAGAUUCCAACUUCGGUUUUUUAACCCGGAUCCUCGAAAGAGCAGUGAUUGUUUCACUCAAUGGGAAAAUAAAUCUGAGCUAUCACGGAUUUGUGUACUUUUAAACCCAAAGAUUCUUGGAACAUAUUAAGCUCUGAGUCAGUUUCUGCGGCUUUAAGUUCCCAUAACUCACAAAUAACAAAUGAGGGAAUGUUGUUCCAAAGUAAGCUCCAUCAAUAUCUGCAACAACAUUCAUUUACAGAAACAAAAACACACUAAGAUACAAUCGUGCCAUUUACGCAAAGGAUACUACUUACUGCCUUCGUUUUUAGAUAGCGGGUAAGAUAUAUCUUCGCAUUUCGGGCCACAGUACUCGAUCUCAGUUCCAAGUGGAAGACAAGAUUGUCCGCAACAGAUCCGAAACCACAAUUACUUCUCUGUCUACUAACAGAAUAGACCAAACUUGUUAACCAAACGACAAAAUCUAUAAUAUAAUGAGGGAGUUUCUCUCCUCCUGAGGUGACACGUCAUCACUUUUUAAAGGGGCCGAAUUUAUUUUCGUAUAACACUUACGUUGCCCUGGCUAUAACAACUAAAAUCUACUUGGCCCAGUGGUAUAACCCGUUCAUAGUAAUGCUUGAGUGUACGGGUUCGAAUCCCCCUGGCUUCCUCUUUAAUUUUUUUUUCUAAUAUAACUUCAUCCACGUUUCAAGACUCCUUAAGCUAUCCACGUAGGCAAGCAUGUGGUACCCACUUCUAUUAUUUUUUUUAAAUAUCCAGUUAUCAAAUUGUCGCGUUAUGGGUGUGAUCCGUGUUUUGGGUUUCUUUCAUGGGAUUCUCCGGCCCGCUACCGUCUUCCUAUGCGUCGCCUUUGGCUGAUUAGGGUUACCGUCUCCUUCGAGAUCCUUCGUUUGAGGGCGCUUCCUCUUCCACUAGAGUUCAGUUUUCUUAUGAACUCCAAUAAUCUAUUGUCUCGAAAAAAUAGAAGUCGAUCGAGUAUCUUCCCUGCAAAGGAGUGUCAACAAGCGAUGGAUGAGCAAGGUUCUUCCGAAGGUUAAGAUCCCUCAUUGGCUAAAUCAUCUAUCUUCCAUGGUAAAUACUUAAGCGAUUAUCUAAACAGUUAUUUGGCUAUCUCUUUUAUCUUUUUGAAUUGAUUCAAGACGAAACCUGGUUUACAAGAUCUGUGACUCUGUUUUGAGUACUCUCAAAGUCUCGUCGUGAAAAUAAAGAAAAAAAUGAAGCUUGUAUAGGAAAAAUAAGUUGAGAUAUUUGAAUGCUGAAACUCCAUGGCUGUCGCAAGCUGAAACUGAAGCUGGUAAUCUGGAAGAGAACCACAUCUCCAUGGCUUUCUCAAGCCUUUUGUUUCCCAUUCCUCGAACAGAAGAGACUCUUUUUCUAAUCUGUUAAUUUGGCUCUUUUUAUAUUUAAUUUUUUUUAUUAUCAUCUUUUUAUUGUCUCACGUAGAAGAUGAUAAUCAGAGCUUAGCUCUUUCCUACAUCGGCUCUUCAACACAGGUCCCAAAGCUUAGCUAUUUCCUACAUCGGCUCUUCUACACAGGUCACCAACUGUUGCUGUGAUAGAGGAGGGACCACGCGAGCAAAGGAAUCAGUUAUUUUCUGUUUUAGGGUCUCUCACUGAUCCAGAAGAAGAAGAAUCAAAGGACUCCUCAGAGGGACAGGUUGCUUCGUAGAUAUUAAACUACCAAGAAGAAGAAGUUUGCAAGUGGAGUUGAGUUGCAACUCACUAGAAGAGAAAUGUUUAAAAACUGGGAGAGCGUUGGCCUUCCGAAGAAGAUACCAAGUUUAUUUUCACUAUGAAGACGCUUCAUCCCGAAUCUCUCAAAGAAUCAAGUAAUGCAUGAAAGUAGAAUUUAAAUAGGUGGUGCGGUGACACGAAGAGACUGUCAAAUUUUACCAUUCGCACGUUCACUUUCGUUAUACGCAAAACCAAUGGUCAUGGCAGAUGAAGACGACUUCGAACUUGGGGUCUUUCAUUAUAUCACUUUCGUUUACGCAAAAUCAAUAUGUUUGAUAGACUAAUUUUUAUAAAUAAAUGAUAAAAAUCGAUUUUAAAAA
This is a long non-coding RNA of Brassica napus (rape), 5574 nucleotides long. RefSeq lists it as uncharacterized. Lineage: Eukaryota; Viridiplantae; Streptophyta; Magnoliopsida; Brassicales; Brassicaceae. The record is from RefSeq and is a predicted model, not a curated record. The transcript is spliced from 4 exons.